GCACUACCGGCGCAGCCACAGCCGCAACCGGCGCAGGCGCCAUCCGUCUCUUCAUGAUGGCAAUCAUAUCUCUAAUUCUAAGAAUCAUCACAUGGGUUUGUCUCAUAAUUUCAACCAUCAUAAUAGUAACAACUACUGCCACAAUCAUAGGCACUUAUCAGACUGUCGAAAUUCACUUCAAUGAUAUAAUUGCUUACAGAUAAUUAAACUGCAUUCAUCUUAAGAAUCACCUUAUCUAAAAGCUUAGGUUAAACUCUUAAAUGAGUUGAUUUCACAGCUACCCUUCUAAACAUGAGUUGCAUGUGAAUAAGCAUGUUGAAAAUAUA
RNAcentral lists this long non-coding RNA (326 nucleotides) under Olea europaea subsp. europaea. Lineage: Eukaryota; Viridiplantae; Streptophyta; Magnoliopsida; Lamiales; Oleaceae. The record is from RNAcentral.